Long non-coding RNA from Bombus huntii, 4580 nucleotides. RefSeq lists it as uncharacterized. The record is from RefSeq and is a predicted model, not a curated record. Lineage: Eukaryota; Metazoa; Arthropoda; Insecta; Hymenoptera; Apidae. The transcript is spliced from 3 exons.
UGUUUUGCGCAAUCGCGGCAUUCGUUCAACUUUUGUCUAUCGGUAACGACAAAACAGAAAUAAAGAAAGUGAAGCAAAAAGUAAAAUGCGUUGUACACUACGUAGAGAAAAAAAAGAGUGAAACCGUGGUAAUCCAGUGGAAGUUAAUUAUCUUAACGGCGUUGUACCAAUAAUUCGAAACAUAGAGCCAGUAAAUUAAGGACAGUUCCCUGAUUCAACGUAAUGGCUUACUUCCCAUUCGGCUUUGCAACCAGUUUCAUAUGCUAUUUGCGAUGAAAUUGGUUUCAUUGUAAGGUGACAUGAGGCGAUUAGAGUUCUAGCUAUUUGUUUCAGGUUUUAAGUAGUUAUAAUGUGGAUAAAAGUUCGCUGGUUAGAUUGGUAUUUGACGAGUAAGGUUUUCAACCAAAGAAGGUUCACAAGUUCUUCUGAAAAAUUUUUAUUUACUUUUAAGAGUGGUAUUUUGGUUGUCGAUAUUGCGCCGUGUGAGUCAGACAGAUUUUUAAGUUAACCAUACAGAAAAUCAACACCUACUAUCGUUAUCUAUAUUUUCACACUUGAGUUUUUACGCUACAGACGUUUAAUUUUUAAAUCGAUUUUGAUUAAAUAUCAUUAGACUAUUGUCCCGACGAUCUUGGUAUAGUUAUCGUGUCUAACUUAUCUUUGAUCCACGGUUUAUAACUUUGAUAAGAUGGCAUUCUUUAUUCAAUUACGUUUCAUUAUAUGUAUAUAUUUAUAUCAUUAGUUUCCUAAAAAAAGUAACAGUAAUAAGAAAAGUAAAUUUUUCAGGAAACACUAAGUUCACUACUAUUUCGCAACGAAAGUAUUUUUUUCUUUACUACUAAAAAAGGCGUAAGUUAAAUUACUAAUAAAAAGAAAGGUAAUAUUGUCGUUAUUACUGCUAUUAUUUCUGUAACAUAAUUUUAUGGCUAAUUAUGAGGUAAUUAUUUCCCAUCCUAGCAGAUGAUGAUUACUUCUUUACUUAAAUUCUUGCUUAUUUUUGCAAAUAUCUCAGAAAUGAGGAUUCAGCAAAACCAACGGUAUUUCCACAAAUUAAGAGACGACAGGGAUAACAGUCGUUUUAUCGAAUAUUAAAAUAACACGUGGACUUGGUAAGAGAAUUUAUAUUUAAAAGCGAUUACUUAGUGUUAGAUGUGUAAGCGAGGCAGAUUUAUGAUGGCGAUUAAGUAGCACAAAAGAGACAUUUUUUGGUGCAUAUUCAAUGACCAGGCAGUUUACUGUUCGUAAUUAUCGUGUACGACACUUUCACGCGAUGUAGUUGGACAUUAAUUUCAAGAUUGACACUGAGAUAACACGUUACGUCAUGACUUCGCUCAAGGACCGACGUUUGUCAUUGCAGAAAUAGAAGUAAAUUGCGAAUUUACGGGUAUCUGAAAAAAGUAGCCGUGGGUGGAAACGAACACACCACGUGUUUUGCUCUAACAAUCCAUCCCACUCGUUUCAGCAACUAAUUGGCAAUGUAUUUAAAAUAGCCAGAUUUUAAUAUUUUGAUGUCUGUAAAUAUUAAAUAAUGGAACUUCAUUAAUCGCGAUACAGUUCGAUAUUCUAAUUUUUAUUUCAAGUGUUUACGAUAAGUUUUCGAUAUUUGCCUAGAUUAUCCGUUACGCCGAUUAAUCAGUACUUAUUAUAAUUAUCUGUUAGAUGCGCGAUCUUUGCAUGUAGAAUAUUAAAUACUUCAACAGUUGAUGGCAUCGUCGAGGAUAAAUCUUGAAGUACUCCUCGAUGUACUCCUUCUUGUAUGUGUUCCAUAUAUUUUAAGUAAGUUAAUCUUUCAAGCGAAAUUUGUCUUUCGAAUCGGUAGUUUUAUCCAACAAGUUUUAAAAAGCUCGACUUAACGAUAGAUCUUAUAACGCAUUGUAAAAACAUCGGUAAGUGUCCCAGAAUCUUUUAAAAAAAGUUUAUGAAGUUUUUUUCUAUAGGAAAAGAGACUCUCACGUCAUAACAGGCACGUUUCUGUCCUAAAAACGUUCAUGUUAUGAAGACAUCGAUGGAAUACUAACGCUGGACAUUAUUAAACGAUUCCUCUACAAUGACAAACAAAUUUCCAGGACGUUCUUAUUUUUCCCGUCUUCUGUGAAACAAAUAAAAAUCCACGAGGAGAACGCUGCAUAACGUUGGUAUAAUAUAGAAGUGUCUCCGGAUACAAAGUUAUCAGGACGACGAAGAAGAAAACGAGUUAACUGGUGUUAGUCGGUUGAAAGGUCAACGGAUGAUUAAAAUUCCCGAAGGGUAAUUCGGUGAUAAUCUUGAGAGACUGAUAUCAUCCAGUGGCGGUUCGAUUUCUUCCUCGAGCAACGUCACUCCUACGUUCUUAUUAUUUUAUUUAUUUAAACUCAUAUUCACCUCUGGGCGACUGUUAUAAUAUACAGAUAUAUUACAUAGACUUGUACAAUACUAUAUUAGACCAGUCUGUUAUUAAGUAAUUACCGACAUUGCAUGUUAUAACAAAUGUUAUGUCCAUUAUACAAUAUUUACAUUGUAUGAUGGGCAUAUUAUGUAUAACAGAUGUCAAUUACGGUGUAUGCUGUUGUUGCCUCACUGCAGCCACGUUAGUUGGACAAGGAUUACGUCGCUUAGGAAUUUCUAGAGAUGUUUCACCACUCCCAUCUUGUCAUGCUGCUGCUUUUUCGGGAGACAACCGUGUGAUGAGCUGCACUUUUGCGUCAACGUCCGAUGAACAUUGCAGUUUACUUCUCGACGACAGACCUGAAUGUUUGGGGAACGUUGGCGUGAAAGUGCAGCCUACCACACGGUUGUCUCCUGAAAAUUCAAAAUCCGUGACAAAACGAAAGUAGCGAAUCGCCAAUCAUCGUCAAAGUUUAAAGUUAAUCGAAAUCUAAAAUUCACUUCCUUCUAAUUUACGCUCGAUUUAACCAGUUACCUGUUUCUGACGAAUAUACUCGUCAGGAAGAAACGACAGUAAUUUGCGUUAUCACGAGCCUUGUCAGUAACAAAAUUAAAAAAUAAAACAAUCAUUUCGUUACAACUUAAUUCUCCAUUAUGACAGCCACCCAUACUCUGUGUUUGACGAGUAUACUCGUCAUCGUUUACCUUUUGCCACGCAUUUCAGGUGCACACUUUGCAAAGAGAUCGCAACAGCUAACUGGUUAAAAGACGUUUGGAACGCUAUAUCCUCUAUAUUCGUUUCGAUACUUUUGCAAAUCGAUAAUUACGUGCUUCACAGUCUUCUUGCACGUUAUAGACGGACAUGGUCUAUGGUCUUCUGGCUGGUUUCUUUUUACUCGUCUGUUUUUUUUCUUUUUUUUUUCGUGAGGCCUAACGGACGUUGGGAUCGACGAGGCCGCUCGCCUCUGGCCUGGCGUGGCCUCCAACCGAGUACCGCUCUUUUGGCAACCGGCCAGAGCUUAUGCCAGGUUUCAACAUACCGGUCGACAUGGAUAUUUUCGGGUUUGCGGUGAAACGACAAGCUCUGCCUUCUCUUUCUUUGCUUCGAUGACCUCGUCGCGUCGUGAAACACCAUCCCUGAUGUCUCGUCCCCAUCCCGAUCUUCUGAUUGACUCCAGCCCCUGCACCCUUUUCGCCAGAUAUCAACGUCGAACCGUCCCAUGAACGAUGCCUGCUUCCGUUUUAUCGAUCAGAGCGUGCCAGCCGAACGCCAAGGUCUGCCCCCUUGUGCGUUGAAUCACGUGCAACUUUUCUGAUCCAUUAACGCGUUAAUUGCUGCACCAAAUUUUAUAUAUUUUCCCUAUGGACCGCAAUCAGCCGAUUUUUUAAUAUGCUUCAAGUUAGAAUGUUUUUCGGGACUGGUUUGGUCAUGUGAUGAUGGUUAGAGUAUGAGAUCAUUGUCGUUGUAUAGGAGGAGGAGGCUCCAAAGUAAAAUAUAUUGGUAAUUUAUUGGCAAGUUUAUUGGAUUAUCUUUGGUGAGGGGAAUUGGUUGGUUCUUAGCGGCUGUACUGCGGAUAUUUCUGUAUUUAUGGGGAAUUUUAUGACACGAUAGGCUAGACAUCGUCAUUUCGGUUUGGGAAAGAACAUAUUAAGAACACAUUUGAGGAGACAGUGUUUGGCCAGAUAUACAGAAACGAAAUUCAGCCGCUAACUGUUUCUUUAAAAGUUCGAGAAAUUGUUUGUAAAAUACACACGAUAUACGUACAAGAGUGAAAUUCAGACAUUAUUUCACGCGAAGUGAAAAAGAAAGACAAUAGAGAAUAGUGUAUUUAAAUUGCGUACAUAUGUAACAAUGAAAAUUUUGUUGGACAGUAAUCUGCUUGGAAUUUAAAGAAACUGAAUAUGAUAUACACUUAAAUAUGUGUAUCUGCGUAAAAUGUAUCUGCGGCUUGAUGCAAGAAGUACCAAUGUCAGCAUUUAUAAAGUUGAGAUGUUAGGACUUAAGGAUACGUUAAAGAAUUCACGUUCAAAUAAUCUCUGAUACAGAAGUUUCUGCUGUUUGGAAAUUUUUUUCUAAUACAAAAGGAGAGAAUUUUCUAGUACAGAAGGAUUUUCGUGUAAAAACGAUAAAAGCAAGUGAUUAUUAUAAAUUUUUUUACACCAGAUACUAAUUACACUGUAUCUAAAUCUUUUUAGGAUGUAAAUGUAGCCUUGAA